GAUGAAGAACGUAGCGAAAUGCGAUACGUAAUGUGAAUUGCAGAAUUCAGUGAAUCAUCGAAUCUUUGAACGCACAUUGCGCCCCUUGGUAUUCCGAGGGGCAUGCCUGUUCGAGCGUCAUUAUCACCCUUCAAGCUUUGCUUGGUGUUGGGGCAUGCCAUCACAGGCAGCCCUUAAAAUCAGUGGCAGUAACCAUUAGGCUCUAAGCGUAGUAAUUCUUCUCGCUAUAGCGUCUGGUGGUCGCGCGCCAAAACCCCCCAUUUUUCAUGAUUGACCUCGGAUCAGGUAGGGAUACCCGCUGAACUUAAGCAUAUCAAUAAGCGGAGGA
Molecule: unclassified non-coding RNA, 328 nt
Filed under: soil metagenome
Description: partial contains 5.8S ribosomal RNA, internal transcribed spacer 2, and large subunit ribosomal RNA
Rfam family: 5.8S ribosomal RNA (bases 1-120)
Source: RNAcentral